RNAcentral lists this ribosomal RNA (2006 nucleotides) under human gut metagenome. Its description in RNAcentral is "bacterial LSU rRNA". It matches the Rfam family "Bacterial large subunit ribosomal RNA", at positions 502 to 2483 of the family's 2925-position model. The record is from RNAcentral.
CGUGAGGGAAAGGUGAAAAGAACCCCGGGAGGGGAGUGAAAGAGAACCUGAAACCGUGUGCUUACAAGCAGUCGGAGCACGUUAAAGUGUGACGGCGUACUUUUUGUAGAACGGUCCGGCGAGUGUAUGUAUGUAGCAAGGUUAAGAGCUUAAGGUUCGAAGCCGCAGGGAGACCGAGUCUGAAUAGGGCGAAAGAGUUGCAUGUAUACGACCCGAAACCGAGUGACCUACCCAUGGACAGGUUGAAGCUAGAGUAAAAUCUGGUGGAGGACCGAACCCACGUAUGUUGAAAAAUGCGGGGAUGAGCUGUGGGUAGCGGAGAAAUUCCAAUCGAACUCGGAUAUAGCUGGUUCUCCCCGAAAUAGCUUUAGGGCUAGCCUCGGAUUAGUUUAGCGGAGGUAAAGCACUGAAUGGGCUAGGGGGCGUAUAGCUUACUGAACCCUAUCAAACUCAGAAUGCCGCAAAAAUGAUGUCCGGGAGUCAGACUACGGGAGAUAAGUUUCGUGGUCGAAAGGGAAACAGCCCAGACCCACAGCUAAGGUCCCAAAAUAGGUUUAAGUGGAAAAGGAUGUCUAGUUGCAGAGACAACUAGGACGUUGGCUUAGAAGCAGCCAUACAUUUAAAGAGUGCGUAAUAGCUCACUAGUCGAGUGAAUAGGCGCCGAAAAUUUAACGGGGCUAAAACCUAUACCGAAGCUUGGGAAUUUGCAUAACUAUUAGAACACAUAUGAGAAAGAGAAAGAAAACCGGCUGCGAAGCAGACGGGAAAUUGAAGUAAGGAAAAAAGGAAUGUGUGAUCUAAUAGUUAUGCAAGUUGGUAGGGGAGCAUUCUAUUAUAGGGAGAAGCAUGACCGGAAGGACAUGUGGACGAGAUAGAAGAGAGAAUGCCGGAAUGAGUAGCGAGAAUUAUGUGAGAAUCAUAAUGGUCGAAAACCUAAGGUUUCUUGAGGAAGGUUCGUCCGCUCAAGGUAAGCCGGGAGCUAAGGCGAGGCCGAAAGGCGUAGUCGAUGCACAUACGGUAGAAAUUCCGUAGCCACCGAAAUUGUUAAGCACAGGGACGCAGGAACAUAAUCCAACCGCACCGAUGGUCGAGUGCGGCGAAAGGGAGCGAAAAUUAAGUAGCGAAGUGGAUGAUUGUACACUGACGAGAAAAGCUGUGUGUAUUGAUGAGGUGCCCGUACCGUAAACCGACACAGGUGGGUGAGGAGAGAAUCCUAAGACCAGCGGGAGAAGUGUUGUUAAGGAACUCGGCAAAUUGACCCCGUAACUUCGGGAAAAGGGGUGCCUGCUAGCGCAGGCCGCAGAGAAUAGGCCCAAGCGACUGUUUAGCAAAAACACAGGUCUCUGCUAAAUCGAAAGAUGAAGUAUAGGGGCUGACGCCUGCCCGGUGCCGGAAGGUUAAGAGGAGGACUUAGCGCAAGCGAAGGUCUGAAUUGAAGCCCCGGUAAACGGCGGCCGUAACUAUAACGGUCCUAAGGUAGCGAAAUUCCUUGUCAGGUAAGUUCUGACCCGCACGAAUGGCGUAACGAUUUGGGCACUGUCUCAACAACACACCCGGUGAAAUUGUAGUACCGGUGAAGAUGCCGGUUACCCGCGACUAGACGGAAAGACCCCAUGGAGCUUUACUGUAACUUGAUAUUGGAUUUUGGUAUUGCAUGUACAGGAUAGGUGGGAGACAGAGAAGCACAGACGCCAGUUUGUGUGGAGUCAAUGUUGGGAUACCACUCUUGUGAUACUGGAAUUCUAACCUGCGGCCGUGAAACCGGUCGGGGGACAAUGUCUGGUGGACAGUUUGACUGGGGCGGUCGCCUCCUAAAGAGUAACGGAGGCGUUCAAAGGUUAGCUCAGUACGGUCAGAAAUCGUACGAAGAGUGCAAACGCAAAAGCAAGCCUAACUGCGAGACGAACAGGUCGAGCAGUAACGAAAGUUGGAGUUAGUGAUCCGGCGGUAAGAGAGUGGAAUUGCCGUCGCUCAACGGAUAAAAGCUACCCUGGGGAUAACAGGCU